UUGCCUCCAUUUUGGAAUUUGCAACUUUUUGUGUAUAACGUUAUUUUACUUAUUCCGUAAACGGAGGCGGGACAAUGCCCCUUUUUUUAGAACUAAGGUCCGCGAAUGCGGGCCGAUCCGGGCGGAAGACAUUGUCAGGUGAGGAGUUUGGCUGGGGCGGCACAUAUGUUAAAAGAUAACGCAGGUAUCCUAAGAUGAGCUCAAUGAGAACAGAAAUCUCGUGUAGAACAAAAGGGUAAGCUCGUUUGAUUCUGAUUUCCAAUAUGAAUACGAACCGUGAAAGCGUGGCCUAUCGAUCCUUGUUAUAACUUCUUGUAACCAAAAA
RNAcentral lists this non-coding RNA (325 nucleotides) under Eucalyptus grandis. RNAcentral describes it as "Eukaryotic large subunit ribosomal RNA". It matches the Rfam family "Eukaryotic large subunit ribosomal RNA", at positions 2422 to 2797 of the family's 3401-position model. Lineage: Eukaryota; Viridiplantae; Streptophyta; Magnoliopsida; Myrtales; Myrtaceae. The record is from Rfam by way of RNAcentral.